RNAcentral lists this ribosomal RNA (253 nucleotides) under uncultured bacterium. Its description in RNAcentral is "partial 16S ribosomal RNA". It matches the Rfam family "Bacterial small subunit ribosomal RNA", at positions 524 to 776 of the family's 1533-position model. The record is from RNAcentral.
UACGUAGGGUGCAAGCGUUAAUCGGAAUUACUGGGCGUAAAGCGUGCGCAGGCGGCUCGGAAAGCAAGAUGUGAAAUCCCAGGGCUUAACCUGGGAAUUGCGAUGGUGACUGCAAGGCUAGAGUUUGGCAGAGGGGGGUAGAAUUCCACGUGUAGCAGUGAAAUGCGUAGAGAUGUGGAGGAACACCGAUGGCGAAGGCAGCCUCCUGGGCCAGCACUGACGCUCAUGCACGAAAGCGUGGGGAGCAAACAGG